CUUUGUUUUUCCAGCUUUGGAGGAGGACCACCACUUAAGACCAGUGUUUACAAAAAGAGUUUAGCCUGUUUGUGACUUUUCACUAUGUCUCUUGGGGGAGCUUCAUUCGCAAGUAAAGAGUCCCCUGGGUGGGAGUGUGUUCUUCGACCCCGGUUCGGAGGAGGAAGCUCCGCCUCCCCUCAGCAGCUACCUUUGUUUGACUAUUUUCACCUGUUUUUGUCCCGCAUACCCCGUCAACAUCGUGGCCCUGAUCUUCUCGAUCAUGUGGCUUCUGACUCUCAGUCUAGGAGCAGCUAUUAUCAGGGUGACUACGAUGGGUCGAGGCGGCUGGGCAGGAACGCUCUUUAUGUGGCUGUGGCCUCCAUCAUCAUCGGCCUUCUCAUCAUCGCCAUCUCCUGCAUCGUUCAUUUUACCGCUGGGGAUUUUUGAUGCUGUGGAGGUGGAGAGUGGGGGAGAACGCUGCAGGAUAAUAUGGGCUCAGCUGGUUCGUUCAUACUGCACCAUCUGCCAGCGAAAGGACUACGACGCCUGACGUUUACUUCCAUCUGUACAUCACUUUGUCUCGGGUUGAACAUUCUGCACGUGGACAAUCACACACUAUACAACAUGGUGAAUGUGAGCGUUUCAGGAAUGAACACCAACAAUGCUUUAAAUAUAAAAAGACAGCUUUCGACAAACGUUUUUGUCAGGCUUUGACUUUUAUUAGAAAGAUGCCUGUUGUAAUUUAUCAAGAAUAGUGACAAUAACUUGUCUAUAACUGAUCAGAAUACCUAUUAUAUAUAUUAAAAAUACUAUUUCUCCUUAAAUUAUGUUUAGUUUUAUUAGAAAAAAUUGAAUUGUUUAAUUCCACAACCUUUUGGUUGAUUGUUAUUAUAAUAUCUCAUUAAUAAAUUGAUUAGCAAAAACUGCUAAAGUUUGAAAGACGUGGAAAUUGAAUUGGCAGUUUCUGAGAGGUCGACACUACUUAGUUAUUUGCACAAUGGGAAACAGGAUGGAGCUGUUUUCUAAUAAUAACCCGUACCUGGGGUUAAAGGUCAGCACCAGCCUUUGUAGCUUCAUUUUAAUUACCGUAUAUUCCGGACUAUAAGCCGCUACUUUUCUCCCACGCUUUGAACCCCGUAAGGGCGGCUGAGUCAGAUUCACAAAUAUAUGAAUUCAACUAAGUAGCAUAAGUUCACCAUUCAACUGGCUGCUUGCACUUCGACUACUGGUUAUGUUUCAUAUCCCGUAUCGUAUAUUCUUUUAUAAUACGGGGCAGAUGAAAUCAAGCGUUCUGAUUGGUUGAUGAUUGGUGCCGCUUAUAUUCAGGUGCGCUCUAUUGUCUGGAAUUUACGGGAGUAAAUUGUUCAACUACUCCUCUAACAUUAUACUAAUAAACAAUUUGACCUUUUCUAUGUCACAUUAGAUGU
Molecule: long non-coding RNA, 1409 nt
Organism: Gasterosteus aculeatus aculeatus (three-spined stickleback)
Lineage: Eukaryota; Metazoa; Chordata; Actinopteri; Perciformes; Gasterosteidae
Source: Ensembl